CACCAGCCUGAUCCGUUGAGUGACGACAGAACGAUAUUUUUCUUCCGAAUUCUGAGUUCUACUCUAACGUCACAAGAAAUGAAAUCACACAUGGUUCCGGUUUGGAGUCUGUGUAAACUUUUGUCAUCUAUACUAUCAAUAAGAUGAGUUGUUGUCGUGUUUUUUCUUACUGACCAGCAGCUGAACAGGUGUACCGUGUACAUUGGCCGUUGUGUCUGUAGAUUGUGAUUGCGGCUCGUAGUGUGUUUAACUGGUUACCAAAUUGGCACAUCGUUACCAAAGAUAGCAUGGCUCAGUGCUCCCAGUCCUGUUCCACCGACUGGACCACAUUUGAAGUGAGUCAGCGUGGUGUCACAGUGAACCAGCAACCUUCUGAUACCGUGAAUGUGGAACUCAUCUGUGAUAACCUUUUAUAACCUUUUUACAGUUUUUCUUUAAAAGACAUUACGUAUGUUCGUCAUGAAGCUCUCCUCUCCUCUGACCUUUCAAGGUCAAAAUGGAGUGUUCUUAAGGUUAAUUACCAAGUUUUUUCAGCAACACACAGUUGUGAUGCAUUUAAUUACAGAAUAAAUAAAUGUAUUUUCUGUGGGGUUCUUUCUAUUUGAACCUCAUUAGUUUGAUGUUAGACAAACACAGAUCCAUUUUAUAACUUAAUUAAAUCAAUCCAGUUUUUCUGGUGUCCUAAGAUGAGGAUGAAUCUGACAUUUUCUUUGUUCAUUUUUCAGUGGCAGACGACUCGGUUCCUUCCCAGAAGCUAAGGUAAAACGCUCAGUGCCUGCGUUAAAGCCCUGCUCAGGAAUGUGGAAGCUACGGGUGAACCAACCUGUUGGGAGUCAACAGAUGGUGUUUGUGAACAGAGAUGGAGGUAACUGCCCAGCGGCUGAGGAGGAGGAGCCAGAAGGCGAAGCCCUGAGGCUGGUGCUCCCAGAGGAAGAGGAGGAGGAGGAUGAUGAAGAGGUGACCGCCGGGCGGAUGAGUGGAGGUGGCGGGUGAUUAUGGGGUGCCCGGUUCUGGAGCGGGCGCGUCUGCAGAGGUGGCGGCUGACGGAGGAGGCUAGGAGGAGCCGAGGGAGGUGCGGGGCGCAGCAGAGGCGGAGGCUGGGAGAGAGAGGACGUGGUCUGGGUGGAGGAGGGAGGGGAAGAACUGUCAGCAGUGUCUGAUGGAGAGUCUUCCAUCUUGACCUGAGGUGAGGAGAGGAUGACAAGCACUACAGUUAGACGAAGAGAAGCAGAGGUGUGAGAGUGACUGUCAGCUGUUAGAGAACCAGCUGCUGCUCAGAUGAACUCUCUGGAUUUCACUGGCACCGACUCUCGUUUGUUUCCCAACUUGUCAAAUCUGUUCCUGACAAACCUGACGCAGAGACUCGGGUGGAGCUCAGACAAUCCAUCGACUUGAAUCAAUUAAGAGCAUUUUUGAAGUGAAUGGAUGCAUCAUUUCAUUCAUUUGGCUGCAGCUAAACCUGCUGGCAGCACAGUACAAGUGUCUGUAACGUCACGUACGUCCUCUCAGGCCUCACCUCAUCGUCCUCUGCAGCGCCGUCGGGAGCUGCAGUGAUGUCCUCCCCGCUCCUCCUGGGGUCUCUCUGGUCCCGGUUGGUGGCCACCUGUUCGGCCGCCCACUCCCUCAGCACCUCAUCCAAGUUGAACCUGCGUCGGUAACUGACGAAGAACGAACUCACCUGAACGGAGAAAGAUUGGGACAGGGAUGCUCACCUGAGCUGGUGUCUUGGUACCGAUCACCUCUGCAAUGGCUCCAAAAUCUUUACCAUAACGACGGAUAGCUGGAAUCAUAAAAACAGAUACACAUGAAUGAACACCAACCCAGUCAAUUUGCAGAAAUCUCUGGUGUGAAAUGAAUGGAUUUGGAAAACUCUGCUGGGCACUGAGACAUAGCCAUAGCAACGGGGGUCUACAGUGGGAGGAUGAUGCUGCAGAUGCAGCCUUCACCCACCUUGCACAGCCAGGAGCUGCUCCUCUGUGGUCCAACGAGAGUUCAUCUUUGAGGCAGGCUGUGAGGGAGAGGAGGGAAGAGAUUAGAGCAAGAAGGAGAAGCUGGUUGAAGGCAACGAGUCAAUGAGAGGAGAAAAUGUUGGAGAGAGACUUUAGAGAAAAAUUCAAGUGACGACAACCAGUGCACACAGCUGAACAUGGCAUGGCAGAAAUACUGCAGUAAAAUGUGACUUACUUCAGCAGUGACACCAACUGUGUGUCCAGCUGCCGUAUGGUCAACACUCCAGAAUCCAGAGAGGUAGACAGGGCCAUGAUGUCGCCCUGCUCUAGGUGCAUGCCUUUCGGUGGCCUGCGGCGAGCUCUGAGCGGGUGGUGACGAUACUG
Molecule: long non-coding RNA, 2333 nt
Organism: Cynoglossus semilaevis (tongue sole)
Lineage: Eukaryota; Metazoa; Chordata; Actinopteri; Pleuronectiformes; Cynoglossidae
Exons: 8
Source: RefSeq, a predicted model, not a curated record